This 492-nucleotide ribosomal RNA is filed under the name uncultured bacterium. RNAcentral's name for it is "partial 16S ribosomal RNA". It matches the Rfam family "Bacterial small subunit ribosomal RNA", at positions 29 to 507 of the family's 1533-position model. The record is from RNAcentral.
AGUGAACGCUGGCGGUAGGCCUAACACAUGCAAGUCGAACGGCAGCACAGUAAGAGCUUGCUCUUACGGGUGGCGAGUGGCGGACGGGUGAGGAAUACAUCGGAAUCUACUUUUUCGUGGGGGAUAACGUAGGGAAACUUACGCUAAUACCGCAUACGACCUACGGGUGAAAGCAGGGGAUCUUCGGACCUUGCGCGAUUGAAUGAGCCGAUGUCGGAUUAGCUAGUUGGCGGGGUAAAGGCCCACCAAGGCGACGAUCCGUAGCUGGUCUGAGAGGAUGAUCAGCCACACUGGAAGUGAGACACGGUCCAGACUCCUACGGGAGGCAGCAGUGGGGAAUAUUGGACAAUGGGCGCAAGCCUGAUCCAGACAUACCGCGUGGGUGAAGAAGGCCUUCGGGUUGUAAAGCCCUUUUGUUGGGAAAGAAAAGCAGCAGGUUAAUACCCCGCUGUUCUGACGGUACCCAAAGAAUAAGCACCGGCUAACUUCGUG